UACGUAGGGUGCGAGCGUUAAUCGGAAUUACUGGGCGUAAAGCGUGCGCAGGCGGUCUGUUAAGACCGAUGUGAAAUCCCCGGGCUUAACCUGGGAACUGCAUUGGUGACUGGCAGGUUUUGAGUGUGGCAGAGGGAGGUAGAAUUCCACGUGUAGCAGUGAAAUGCGUAGAGAUGUGGAGGAAUACCGAUGCGAAGGCAGCCUCCUGGGCCAACACUGACGCUCAUGCACGAAAGCGUGGGGAGCAAACAGG
Molecule: ribosomal RNA, 253 nt
Filed under: uncultured bacterium
Lineage: Bacteria
Description: partial 16S ribosomal RNA
Rfam family: Bacterial small subunit ribosomal RNA
Source: RNAcentral